AAUGUUUUAUGAUAUAGCUAUAUAUAUGUUUGAAACGGAAGAACCAUUAACUAUUAUUUGAAAAAAUAAAUAACACGUUUACAAUAAAUUUGAGAGAUACAUAUUAAGAAACCUGGACGUAUAAAGUAUGUAUAGCAAGUAUGUCCAAAUUUUCGAUAAGAAGUUUCAACAAUUGUUAUUAAUUGUUAAAUUAUAAUAUGUGUGUAUAUAUAUGUGUGUGUGCGCGCGCGCGCGUAUAUAUAUAUAAAACACAUAAAGAGAGAAAUUGAAAAAAAUAUUGUCAGCGAGUUGAUCGAAGAGCGCGCGAUUUCAGUGCUCCCAAUCUUGUGUACCUAUGUACUUAUACAUAUAAGAGACCACACAUUUGCAACCGAUAACUGAGUGAUAGAAGGAAGAAAAAGAGAGAGAAAGAGAGAGAGAGAGCGGCAUGGGGGAGAAGCUUGGGGAGAGAAUGAGAGGUAGUAAAAAAGUGGCCGAGCAGCCAACGAACACGGCCAAGUACGCGGCUCCUUCCCCGGAGGGUCGCACUGGUUAUUCGGCCUGCGAAUAAUAAUCAUAGCGGUCGCCCUCCUGGUCGUUUCGGUUUCCUUCUCUCUUUCCCUCGCGCGGAUCACCCUGUCGUCCGCUGCAUAGCAACAAGGACCGUUCUCUCUUUCGCUCUUAAGACUUGCCAGAGGCCCGUCCAUACACGAGACUGGAGAGGACGGAAAGCAUGCCAACGAAACAGAGAGGUGAUUGAGGGAGGAGGACGAAACACUCCGAAGCGAGGGAGUGAGAGGAUACGAGCAACCAUCUGAAGAGGAUAGAAAUAUAAACGGACGCAGAAAGAACGGCUGACAGAAUCUCUUUUGGAGGAAAAGGAUACGGGCAAGGAAAGAGAGGAUAACAGAGAAUAAAGAAACGGAAGAACAAGAGUGCUACGUAUGUCUGUACAUGUAGUUACAAAGGACUCCGUAGAGAAAACCAGGAAAAACUGCGAAAAAGAUGAACGGGACAAAUGACCAAGGAAAUAAGCUACGAAACGAGAAAGGCAACGGGAAUACAUGUUGAUGCUGGUCUGCGUUGACUAAAGAGCACAAAAAUAUAGACGGAGGAAUUAGAGGAAUAUAGAGAGAAUUACAACGAUUAAACGUCGAAAUAAUUGUUAAACAUGUUUGGAGAGUAAAGUGCACAGAACGAAAGAAAUAUAUGUAGAUAUGCACAAUUGUGUUUAUAUUGCAAAUUAUGUUAAUAUUGUAAUUUUGAAAUAACAUUAGAUAGUUCAUUUAUUAAAUAAGACUAAAUAAAAGAUCUAAGAUUUCUUACAUUUUUUAUUAAUUAUCGUUAAAACAUGCAAUAUUAAUCUGGCAAAUAUAUCAAAGAGUUUAUUUUUAAUAAUAAAUCUUGAAUAAGUCGAGCAAAAACAAUGAGAUAGAGGGAAAGUGAACGGAUUUAUAGAACUGUAGCAACAACCGUUAUUAGCUUGUUGCCAUAAAAAAAAGUGCAAGUUUGGAAUUCGCAAAAGCAAACGUAUGCUGCUACCCAAAGAGAACUGGAAAAAUCAAUUUAGAGCUCAACGGCUUAGAUGUGUGCAAAUAUCAUUUUCGGGAUUCAAAGGAGAAAGAAGAAGUCACAGCAGUUUGUUAAAUGGAGAAGAGAAUAUGGAUAAAUGGCUGUAUGAAAGCGCGCCUACAUCGUUACACGUGUAUCUGUGCAACUAUUAUAAUUAUUUUAUUACAAUAUAUUGUUAAAAUGUUGAAUUGUACUGGAAAAUGUUGAAUGUUUAAAUAUCAACUCGAUUAAGAUUCAUCAUUUACCAGAUCAUUACGAGAACAAUUCUAAGAAAACCUGGUUUCUCGGAUAAGUAGGAACCUAAGUUGUAAAAAUCUUCUAAUUAAUAAUCCGCACAUAAGCUACAAUUUAAAGGAAUCGAAGGGUUAACAAGAAAGGCAUGAAUCAAGGUUCUUGGCUGGUCCAGGAUGCAAAGGGUUCUUAGGACCAUAUGACUCAGCAAUCAUAUGGUUAGUGACGUCAGAGACCAGCAAAAUGAUCGAACUAGUAAAAGCAACGACCGAUAGAACAACACGGUGCACAGUGUAUGUAUAUAUAUAUAUAUAUAUAUAUAUCGUCGUUGUCGUGUACACACACACACACACACACGCGCGCGCGCGCGCGCGCGCGCGCGCGUAUAGCGUAUAGCGAUCCGGAUGCUAAUCCAUUCGUGCGUGCUAAAUCGACCAGUUUCUCCCAUCUACUAGGUCAGAUACAUAGAUAUAGAUGUUCUCACACGAGUCUUUCGUUUUCUUACAAUAGAAACGUGAAAUUUCGAACGACGCGCGAAGCGUCCAAGAUGUUGCGUACUGAUAACAAUAUCAAAUCACAGAGGUAACAACGAUUAUCUACGAUUUGUCAUUUAGAUUCUUUAAAGCAAAAGUUUGUAUUUCCUUUUUGAUAUUUUGCUUUUCCCAACAUAACGUUUGAUUACUUUAUAUUCCCAUUUACCGUUUGACAUUGCUGUUAAUAUUAAAACGAGAUGUUUCCGAUAUAUAUAUCUGCAAUAAUGUACUGCAAACAAUACUGCAAACAAAUAUAUAUCGUGCAGUUUAUCGAACAAUUUAUUAUAGCAGAAACAAUUUAUCUAUAUUGUGUCUUCAUUACAGAGGUACCUCUGUACCCAUUAAAAAAAAAAAAAA
Long non-coding RNA from Bombus terrestris (buff-tailed bumblebee), 2672 nucleotides. RefSeq lists it as uncharacterized. Lineage: Eukaryota; Metazoa; Arthropoda; Insecta; Hymenoptera; Apidae. The transcript has 3 exons. The record is from RefSeq and is a predicted model, not a curated record.